RNAcentral lists this ribosomal RNA (511 nucleotides) under uncultured bacterium. RNAcentral describes it as "bacterial SSU rRNA". It matches the Rfam family "Bacterial small subunit ribosomal RNA", at positions 28 to 573 of the family's 1533-position model. The record is from RNAcentral.
AACGAACGCUGGCGGCAGGCUUAACACAUGCAAGUCGAACGUGAAAGUCCCUUCGGGGGCGAGUAAAGUGGCAGACGGGUGCGUAACACGUGGGAAUCUACCUUUGAGUUCGGAAUAACACAGGGAAACUUGUGCUAAUACCGGAUACGCCCUACGGGGGAAAGAUUUAUUGCUCAAGGAUGAGCCCGCGGCCGAUUAGCUAGUUGGUAGGGUAAUGGCCUACCAAGGCAAUGAUCGGUAGCUGGUCUGAGAGGAUGAUCAGCCACACUGGAACUGAGACACGGUCCAGACUCCUACGGGAGGCAGCAGUGGGGAAUAUUGGACAAUGGGCGAAAGCCUGAUCCAGCCAUGCCGCGUGAGUGAUGACGGCCUUAGGGUUGUAAAGCUCUUUUAGCGGGGAAGAUAAUGACGGUACCCGCAGAAAAAGCACCGGCUAACUCCGUGCCAGCAGCCGCGGUAAUACGGAGGGUGGCUAGCGUUGUUCGGAAUUACUGGGCGUAAAGCGCGCGUA